This 71-nucleotide transfer RNA is filed under the name Phytophthora infestans (potato late blight agent). RNAcentral describes it as "tRNA-Ser". It matches the Rfam family "tRNA". Rfam says of the family: Transfer RNA (tRNA) molecules are approximately 80 nucleotides in length. Their secondary structure includes four short double-helical elements and three loops (D, anti-codon, and T loops). Further hydrogen bonds mediate the characteristic L-shaped molecular structure. tRNAs have two regions of fundamental functional importance: the anti-codon, which is responsible for specific mRNA codon recognition, and the 3' end, to which the tRNAs corresponding amino acid is attached (by aminoacyl-tRNA synthetases). tRNAs cope with the degeneracy of the genetic code in two manners: having more than one tRNA (with a specific anti-codon) for a particular amino acid; and 'wobble' base-pairing, i.e. permitting non-standard base-pairing at the 3rd anti-codon position. Lineage: Eukaryota; Oomycota; Peronosporomycetes; Peronosporales; Peronosporaceae. The record is from RNAcentral.
GGUCACGUAGCUCAGUGGUUACGAGCACCGCAAUUUGCGGAUGGACGCGGAUUCGAAUUCCGUUGUGUCCA